Molecule: ribosomal RNA, 656 nt
Filed under: uncultured bacterium
Lineage: Bacteria
Description: bacterial SSU rRNA
Rfam family: Bacterial small subunit ribosomal RNA
Source: RNAcentral
GAAACAGGUGCUAAUACCGUAUAACACUAUUUUCCGCAUGGAAGAAAGUUGAAAGGCACUUUUGCGUCACUGAUGGAUGGACCCGCGGUGCAUUAGCUAGUUGGUGAGGUAACGGCUCACCAAGGCCACGAUGCAUAGCCGACCUGAGAGGGUGAUCGGCCACACUGGGACUGAGGCACGGCCCAGACUCCUACGGGAGGCAGCAGUAGGGAAUCUUCGGCAAUGGACGAAAGUCUGACCGAGCAACGCCGCGUGAGUGAAGAAGGUUUUCGGAUCGUAAAACUCUGUUGUUAGAGAAGAACAAGGAUGAGAGUAAAAUGUUCAUCCCUUGACGGUAUCUAACCAGAAAGCCACGGCUAACUACGUGCCAGCAGCCGCGGUAAUACGUAGGUGGCAAGCGUUGUCCGGAUUUAUUGGGCGUAAAGCGAGCGCAGGCGGUUUCUUAAGUCUGAUGUGAAAGCCCCCGGCUCAACCGGGGAGGGUCAUUGGAAACUGGGAGACUUGAGUGCAGAAGAGGAGAGUGGAAUUCCAUGUGUAGCGGUGAAAUGCGUAGAUAUAUGGAGGAACACCAGUGGCGAAGGCGGCUCUCUGGUCUGUAACUGACGCUGAGGCUCGAAAGCGUGGGGAGCGAACAGGAUUAGAUACCCUGGUAGUCC